GGAGAAAAGCAGGGGAUCGCAAGACCUUGCGCUUUUGGAGCGGCCGAUGCCUGAUUAGCUUGUUGGUAAGGUAAAAGCUUACCAAGGCUUCGAUCAGUAGCUGGUCUGAGAGGACGGCCAGCCACACUGGGACUGAGACACGGCCCAGACUCCUACGGGAGGCAGCAGUGGGGAAUUUUGGACAAUGGGGGCAACCCUGAUCCAGCCAUGCCGCGUAAGUGAAGAAGGCCUUCGGGUUGUAAAGCUCUUUCAGCCGGAACGAAACGGUUACGGUUAAUACCUGUGACUAAUGACGGUACCGGAAGAAGAAGCACCGGCUAACUACGUGCCGGCAGCCGCGGUAAUACGUAGGGUGCGAGCGUUAAUCGGAAUUACUGGGCGUAAAGCGUGCGCAGGUGGUUUUGUAAGUCAGAUGUGAAAUCCCCGGGCUCAACCUGGGAACUGCGUUUGAAACUACAAAGCUAG
RNAcentral lists this ribosomal RNA (465 nucleotides) under uncultured bacterium. RNAcentral describes it as "bacterial SSU rRNA". It matches the Rfam family "Bacterial small subunit ribosomal RNA", at positions 198 to 644 of the family's 1533-position model. The record is from RNAcentral.